AUUGAACGCUGGCGGCAGGCUUAACACGUGCAAGUCGAGCGGUAACAGAGAGAAGCUUGCUUCUCUGCUGACGAGCGGCGGACGGGUGAGUAAUGCCUAGGAAUCUGCCUAGUAGUGGGGGAUAACUUGCCGAAAGGUAAGCUAAUACCGCAUACGUCCUACGGGAGAAAGGAGGGGACCUUCGGGCCUCUCGCUAUUAGAUGAGCCUAGGUCGGAUUAGUUAGUUGGUGAGGUAAUGGCUCACCAAGACCGCGAUCCGUAACUGGUCUGAGAGGAGGAUCAGUCACACUGGAACUGAGACACGGUCCAGACUCCUACGGGCGGCAGCAGUGGGGAAUAUUGGACAAUGGGGAGAACCCUGAUCCAGCCAUGCCGCGUGUGUGAAGGAGGUCUUAGGAUUGUAAAGCACUUUAAGUUGGGAGGAGAAGCAGUUAACUAAUAUUUGACUGUUUUGACGUUACCGACAGAAUAAGCACCGGCUAACUUCGUGCCAGCCGCCGCCGUAA
Molecule: ribosomal RNA, 506 nt
Filed under: uncultured bacterium
Lineage: Bacteria
Description: partial 16S ribosomal RNA
Rfam family: Bacterial small subunit ribosomal RNA
Source: RNAcentral